AGGCUUGCUCCUUGGGUGACGAGUGGCGGAUGGGUGAGGUAAUGUCUGGGAAACUGCCUGAUGGAGGGGAUAACUACUGGAAACGGUAGCUAAUACCGCAUAACGUCGCAAGACCAAAGAGGGGGACCUUCGGGCCUCUUGCCAUCAGGAUGUUGCCCAGAUGGGAUUAGCUAGUAGGUGGGGUAACGGCUCACCUAGGCGACGAUCCCUAGCUGGUCUGAGAGGAUGACCAGCCACACUGGAACUGAGACACGGUCCAGACUCC
RNAcentral lists this ribosomal RNA (265 nucleotides) under uncultured Enterobacteriaceae bacterium. Its description in RNAcentral is "partial 16S ribosomal RNA". It matches the Rfam family "Bacterial small subunit ribosomal RNA", at positions 75 to 339 of the family's 1533-position model. Lineage: Bacteria; Pseudomonadati; Pseudomonadota; Gammaproteobacteria; Enterobacterales; Enterobacteriaceae. The record is from RNAcentral.